ACUGAACGCUGGCGGCAUGCCUUACACAUGCAAGUCGAACGGCAGCACGGGUGCUUGCGCCUGGUGGCGAGUGGCGAACGGGUGAGUAAUAUAUCGGAACGUACCUUAUUGUGGGGGAUAACGCAGCGAAAGCUGUGCUAAUACCGCAUAAUCCCUAAGGGGGAAAGCGGGGGACCGUAAGGCCUCGCGCAAUUAGAGCGGCCGAUACCUGAUUAGCUAGUUGGUGAGGUAAAGGCUCACCAAGGCAACGAUCAGUAGCUGGUCUGAGAGGACGAUCAGCCACACUGGGACUGAGACACGGCCCAGACUCCUACGGGAGGCAGCAGUGGGGAAUUUUGGACAAUGGGGGCAACUCUGAUCCAGCAAUGCCGCGUGAGUGAAGAAGGCCUUCGGGUUGUAAAGCUCUUUUGUCAGAGAAGAAACAGCAGCUCUAACACAGUUUGCGAAUGACGGUACCUGAAGAAUAAGCACCGGCUAACUACGUGCCAGCCGCCGCGGAAA
Molecule: ribosomal RNA, 501 nt
Filed under: uncultured bacterium
Lineage: Bacteria
Description: partial 16S ribosomal RNA
Rfam family: Bacterial small subunit ribosomal RNA
Source: RNAcentral